This 30-nucleotide non-coding RNA is filed under the name Mus musculus (house mouse). Lineage: Eukaryota; Metazoa; Chordata; Mammalia; Rodentia; Muridae. The record is from RNAcentral.
UAAAUAUACAAGUAUAACACGUGCAGGCGU